RNAcentral lists this microRNA precursor (203 nucleotides) under Oryza brachyantha (malo sina). RNAcentral's name for it is "MIR812 microRNA precursor family". It matches the Rfam family "MIR812 microRNA precursor family", at positions 22 to 205 of the family's 205-position model. The record is from Rfam by way of RNAcentral. Lineage: Eukaryota; Viridiplantae; Streptophyta; Magnoliopsida; Poales; Poaceae.
UUUCAGUUUUUGAUACUGCGUAAAAUGUUUUGACUCUUCGUCUUAUUUGAAAUUUUUUGCGAUUAAUAUUUUUAUUGUUACUAGAUGGUAAAACAUGAAUAGUACUUUAUACGUGACUAAUUUUUUAAAAGUUUUUAUACAAAUUUUUCAAAUAAGAUGAAUGGUUAAAGCGUUGGACACAGAAAUCAAAAAAUGAGGUUAUU